UAUUCAGUCUGCGUUCCUACGGUAUUUCUCCUCAUGCUCACAUUCGCAUUGGCUUUUGUUUCUUGAGGAACGUCGAUGCUAUUAUCUUUUGCGGCAUUGUCUGGCUCGAUUUUGGAUUUCUUUCCUCCUCGAUUUGUAAAUACUCUUGCUUUUGGUGGCGGACGUUUGGAAGCACAAGCAGCUUUACAGUUCUAAACUACGGAGUACAUUCUUAUAAAAGCAUGAAGUAUUUGAACCCAGGGCGACGGUAGACCUCGACGGCGUUUCGUUCUAUUUUGUAACGCGCCGUAAGAAGUAAGAGCGUGCAGCACCUCUGUAUAAUGACUUCAGUGCUAAAACUCGGAGCAAUUUCAGAAUAAUAUCUCAACUUGCAGUUUUUUUAUUUGGAUUUCAGACUCACAGCGCAAGGCAAGCAGUUUGAAAACGAGCUUCUUGAGGGAGGCAACGACAGCGUUGACCGAGGUUUACAAAGAUGUUCCUGCAGAGGAUCAGCCCAGUCCAGUGGUGCAAUGAGGGGAAAUUACGGAAUGACUGAUGAGAAAAUGGACCAGCUGAUUAGAAAUCAGCAAAAAUCCUUAAAAGACAAAACCAAAAAAGUCUUCAGUAAAGCUAAGUGAAAUGUCCAUUGUUGGUGUAAAAUGUCCGCUUUAGUAGGUUUUUUAAUCAUAGAGAUAUUUUAGCUUGCCUUGCACUUUUUGUUGUAUACCAACUUUUUGUCGAAUUUGGUUUUGUCUUUUAACGAUUUUUGCUGAUUUCUAUAACGUUAUAGAAGUCACUGUUCACGUUGUAUCCGAAAAUUAUAAAGUUGAUUAUCAAAUUUUGAGAUAAUUGUAAAUUUGUUCUGUAUUCUAAAAAUAAAAUUAUUUGCUGGAAAA
This is a long non-coding RNA of Nematostella vectensis (starlet sea anemone), 875 nucleotides long. RefSeq lists it as uncharacterized. The transcript has 3 exons. The record is from RefSeq and is a predicted model, not a curated record. NCBI's taxonomy places the organism in Eukaryota, Metazoa, Cnidaria, Anthozoa, Actiniaria, Edwardsiidae.